This 443-nucleotide ribosomal RNA is filed under the name uncultured bacterium. Its description in RNAcentral is "SSU rRNA". It matches the Rfam family "Bacterial small subunit ribosomal RNA", at positions 26 to 518 of the family's 1533-position model. The record is from RNAcentral.
AGAGCGAACGCUGGCGGCAGGCCUAACACAUGCAAGUCGAGCGCUCCGCAAGGGGAGCGGCAGACGGGAGAGUAACACGUGGGAACGUACCCUUCAGUUCGGAACAACCCAGGGAAACUUGGGCUAAUACCGAAUACGUCCGUAAGGAGAAAGAUUUAUCGCUGAAGGAUCGGCCCGCGUCUGAUUAGCUUGUUGGUGAGGUAACGGCUCACCAAGGCGACGAUCAGUAGCUGGUCUGAGAGGAUGAUCAGCCUCACUGGGACUGAGACACGGCCCAGACUCCUACGGGAGGCAGCAGUGGGAAUAUUGGACAAUGGGCGCAAGCCUGAUCCAGCCAUGCCGCGUGGGUGAUGAAGGCCCUAGGGUUGUAAAGCCCUUUCGGCGGGGAAGAUAAUAACGGUACCCGCAGAAGAAGCCCCGGCUAACUUCGUGCCAGCAGCCGC